UGUAAACAUCCUACACUCAGCUCUGACACACGGAACGGCUGGGAGGUGGAUGUUUGCUUC
This 60-nucleotide microRNA precursor is filed under the name Gekko japonicus. RNAcentral's name for it is "Gja-Mir-30-P2a_pre stem-loop". It matches the Rfam family "mir-30 microRNA precursor family", at positions 1 to 60 of the family's 77-position model. Rfam says of the family: This family consists of the mammalian microRNA (miRNA) precursor mir-30a. The record is from RNAcentral. Lineage: Eukaryota; Metazoa; Chordata; Lepidosauria; Squamata; Gekkonidae.